Cimex lectularius (bed bug) is the source of this 647-nucleotide long non-coding RNA. RefSeq lists it as uncharacterized. Lineage: Eukaryota; Metazoa; Arthropoda; Insecta; Hemiptera; Cimicidae. The record is from RefSeq and is a predicted model, not a curated record. The transcript is spliced from 2 exons.
UUAAAUUUAGAAACAAAUAUUUUCAACGUCUUUAAAAGGAUAGACGGUCAGAAAAGUCUUCCGCCAUUACCCUCUGCAGGUCAUGAAAGGAUAGCACGUUCCCUUUGUUAUGUUGUAUGCAACUGAAUUCAUUCUGUUUCCAAGCCACCUCAGCAGGUAUUGAAUUCUAUUCAAAGCAGAUUUGAGGAGACUGAGAUGUCCAAAUCCAACUUCAAGAGCUACACGUCAUUUGACCUUUCACGUAGACAAGAUUUUCCUUAGUUCUCACAAUUUUUCUCCCGAGCUCGUUUAAUAACAUGUUUAUCUAUAUACUAAAAUUUCAAAUUCAAAAAUUUAUAUAUCUAUGUACGUAAACAUUUACUAUAUAAGUGUAUUGAUUGAUAUGCAUUAUCCAUGUUACUAAGUAUGUAUUAAUCUAUAUUUUGUUACGCAUAUAUUUCUCUACCUACCUUAUAAUUAGUUUAUUUGGGUUCAUAUAUCUAACUCGUAAUUGAAUUUCCCUCGUAGAAAGAACAAAAAUUAAAAAAUUUAUUCUUAACCUCGAUAAUUCUGUUGUAGCCAAACGUUAAGUUAAAUAACUAGCAUAGCAUUUGUAUCUCUAUACCUAUUUCUUUAUUUACCUUAAUAAAAAUGUCUUUAUUCAUCUA